RNAcentral lists this ribosomal RNA (497 nucleotides) under uncultured bacterium. RNAcentral's name for it is "partial 16S ribosomal RNA". It matches the Rfam family "Bacterial small subunit ribosomal RNA", at positions 28 to 507 of the family's 1533-position model. The record is from RNAcentral.
GAUGAACGCUGGCGGCGUGCCUAAUACAUGCAAGUCGAGCGAACAGACGAGGAGCUUGCUCCUCUGACGUUAGCGGCGGACGGGUGAGUAACACGUGGAUAACCUACCUAUAAGACUGGGAUAACUUCGGGAAACCGGAGCUAAUACCGGAUAAUAUAUUGAACCGCAUGGUUCAAUAGUGAAAGACGGUUUUGCUGUCACUUAUAGAUGGAUCCGCGCCGCAUUAGCUAGUUGGUAAGGUAACGGCUUACCAAGGCAACGAUGCGUAGCCGACCUGAGAGGGUGAUCGGCCACACUGGAACUGAGACACGGUCCAGACUCCUACGGGAGGCAGCAGUAGGGAAUCUUCCGCAAAGGGCGAAAGCUUGACGGAGCAACGCCGCGUGAGUGAUGAAGGUCUUCGGAUCGUAAAACUCUGUCAUUAGGGAAGAACAAAUGUGUAAGUAACUAUGCACGUCUUGACGGUACCUAAUCAGAAAGCCACGGCUAACUACGUG